AAGGACCAGCGCUGCUCCGUGAGCUCCUCCCACAGGGCGUGGCCUAAUCCUGGUUCCAGGCUCUGCAGAGAUUCCUCCCACCCCAGUAAUGAGUAGGAUGUCCUAAAAGGCUGAGCAACUCCCGGCGGGUAAGGGCCAGUGGGGAGGGAGCGAGGCCAGAUGUCAUCACUUGUGUGUACGCGGAAGCAUAGAGAACGCAGAAGAGAGGAGGGGGUUGCGAGUGAUUAAGGCAAAGCUGAGGCAGCCUGGUGGGACCUGCCAAGGGCCCUUUGCACGCACAGGUCCAAGGACCCAGAGUCAGGCGCAGGUCUUAAAGCUCCUGGACGUGUCUUCUCCCCAGGUUCUGAGAGCAGCAGGCUGAGGCCGGAACAGGAGCUGCAGGUGUACCUGCUGAGCUACAGGUGGAUGACGAACUUAAACCGAACUCUGGGGCGGGAUCUUAUACCUAUUAUUCUUAUAGUGUUCUUUCUAGUGGAGUCAAAUAGUUCUUGUGGAGUUCUUCCCCUUUUUUUUACUCUCAAUUUUCUCUCUUCUUCUACCUGAGUCAUUUCUAAAUUUCUAUCACCAAUAUCACUCGUUUUUUUCUCCAUCCGCGCUGCUCUGUUUCCUAAACUUUCUGGUUCAUCCUUCAUCUCUUUUAUCGAGUUAUUCAGCUCCAGAAUUUCUAUUUGGUUCUUUUUUAUAGCUUCAAUCUCUUUGAAAAGGUACUCAUAUUGUUUGAUGAUUCUGUUCUUGAGGUCAUUGAAUUGCCUGUCUGAGUAUUCUUGCAUCUCCUUGAGUUUUUUCAGAACAGCAAUCUUGAAUUCUCUGUCAUUUAAAUCACGGUCUUCGAUGUCCUUAAGUUUACUUUCUGGAGAUUUUUCAUCUUCUUUCUGUACUUCCUUGUUACCUUGGUUAUUCAUGAUAUUUGAUGGGUUAUUUGAGGGAAUGAAAUUUUCUUUCUUUUUUUUGAGUGUGAUUCUUUUGUUUAGCAAGUUGAUACGUAGAAGUCUUUCCUUUGUUUUCCUGUAGGUGGUGCUACUGCGCAAUAUUUUGUGUUCUUACCUGCAAAGCGGGUACUUUCGGGAUCUCUGUGGGGCGCUGUUCCCUCAGCGGUGGGAAGUGCCUGUAUUCCUCGAAGAGGUGGGCGUCCUCCCCUUGGUCUUGGGGUACUGCUCCCUGGUGGGUCGAGGCAGGUGAUGGGUCUCCUGGCCUCUGUGUUCCCGGGCUGCUUUCCUGUAACCAGAAGCCACGAGCCGACCGUGUUUUCUGCGCCUCUGCAGCUGCCUCGAUCAGGCUCUGUCAGGAUGGGUAGAGAAGGAUGGGCAGGGAGGAGACCGGCUUUAGGGUCUAUGGCUUAGUUCCUCUCGGUGGGUUUAACCGCAGUGAGCACAGACCACACAGGCUUGAAUGUGGCUUCUGCCCCUUUGCGAUCCGCAGAAUGCGGCCUGCGAUGCCGCGCGGAGGGGCCACCGGAGGGAGGGGGUGGGGCUGCAAUUCCCGCCAUUGCGGCUUUGUCUGCUCGGUGAUGGCGGGUGGUCGGUUCCCGCCACACUCUGCACCGCUCCCCUGUCUCUGAUCCUGGGUUCAGCCUCAGUGUGUACCGGCCACUGAGGGCGGACUCCUAUCUGCACCCCAUGGUCAACACAGUGGGGGAUUUCACCCCGACUCUUCACCGCUGUCGGCGGGCUGGGUCCCCGGUAAGUGCCACCAGUCUCCGACUGUGUCUGUAGCUCCCGUCUCUGUCCUUCCCUCUCCCCUGUGCGCUCAGAUAUGCCUACCUCUGGAUGUCUCGGUGCUCGGAUCUCUCGGACCUGUUUGUGUGUUCAGCGGGGAGUCCUUUCUUCAGCUAUAGCUGUCCAAUUUGUGGCUUCAAGGAGAGAAACCCGAAGGUUUACUUACGCCGCCAUGGUGCUGACGUCACUCCUGGAUUUUCCUAACGUAUAGGAGGUUCUGCCAAUAUGACACCCUGGCAGAAUCGUUGGGAUUCUGAGAUCUGUGGGCUGUUUCUCUCUUACUAUUGAAGUCCAAAACCUAAUCCAUCGAAAUACCAAGUUCUGUAACUUUCAGAGCCAAGUACUGCAGUUUCACUAAUUGCUUUGGAGAAAAAUGCCAGACCCAAAAAACUUAGAAGAUGCAAGGAGAAGGUCAAGGGUAGUUCUUGGUGGGAGGAGCCAGGAGUUAGUGCCAAAUCACCAUCUUGGAACUUUAGGAAUUGUAUAUUUUGAAGAGUUAAAAAACUUCUGGGGCCGGCCCAGUGGCUCAGGUGGUUGGAGCUCUGUGCUUCUAACUCCAAAGGCUGCCGGUUCGAUUCCCACAUGGGCCAGUGGGCUCUCAACCACAAGGUUGCCGGUUUGAUUUCCCGCAA
Molecule: long non-coding RNA, 2347 nt
Organism: Rhinolophus ferrumequinum (greater horseshoe bat)
Lineage: Eukaryota; Metazoa; Chordata; Mammalia; Chiroptera; Rhinolophidae
Exons: 4
Source: RefSeq, a predicted model, not a curated record